RNAcentral lists this ribosomal RNA (731 nucleotides) under uncultured Campylobacter sp. RNAcentral describes it as "bacterial SSU rRNA". It matches the Rfam family "Bacterial small subunit ribosomal RNA", at positions 28 to 776 of the family's 1533-position model. Lineage: Bacteria; Pseudomonadati; Campylobacterota; Epsilonproteobacteria; Campylobacterales; Campylobacteraceae. The record is from RNAcentral.
AGUGAACGCUGGCGGCGUGCCUAAUACAUGCAAGUCGAACGGAGAUUAAGUAGCUUGCUAUUUAAUCUUAGUGGCGCACGGGUGAGUAAUAUAUAGCUAACUUGCCCAUUACUAAGGGACAACAGUUGGAAACGACUGCUAAUACCUUAUACUCCGUAUCUAUAUAAGUAGAUACGGGAAAGUUUUUCGGUAAUGGAUAGGGCUAUAUCGUAUCAGCUAGUUGGUAGGGUAACGGCCUACCAAGGCUAUGACGCGUAACUGGUCUGAGAGGAUGAUCAGUCACACUGGAACUGAGACACGGUCCAGACUCCUACGGGAGGCAGCAGUAGGGAAUAUUGCUCAAUGGGGGAAACCCUGAAGCAGCAACGCCGCGUGGAGGAUGACACUUUUCGGAGCGUAAACUCCUUUUCUUGGGAAAGAAUUAUGACGGUACCCAAGGAAUAAGCACCGGCUAACUCCGUGCCAGCAGCCGCGGUAAUACGGAGGGUGCAAGCGUUACUCGGAAUCACUGGGCGUAAAGGACGCGUAGGCGGAUUAUCAAGUCUCUUGUGAAAUCUAACGGCUUAACCGUUAAACUGCUUGGGAAACUGAUAAUCUAGAGUAAGGGAGAGGCAGAUGGAAUUCUUGGUGUAGGGGUAAAAUCCGUAGAGAUCAAGAAGAAUACCCAUUGCGAAAGCGAUCUGCUGGAACUUAACUGACGCUAAUGCGUGAAAGCGUGGGGAGCAAACAGG